GACGUCACGACCCAGCCAGCUGAUCGGAGUGAGAAGCCGGUUUGAAGAGAGGAGUUUGAUCGGAGAGAGAGACCGGGGAGGGAGCCCCGAGGAGCAUCGAGCAGCACAGGCGGAGGAGACAUUUAAAGGCCGCAACAGAAGGCGUGCUGCGGUGUCAUAUCCAAGGGUCUUCGGGCUCCUACAGUAGAUCUACAUGUCCCUUCAUCAACUUUAGAUCACGGCAUCAGGAUCCACUUGGAGGACUCCAGAGGAGUUAAUGGUUGGAGAUCAAGUCUUCUUCAUCAGGCCAAUGCAGACAUAAAGAUUUGAGGUGAGUAGAGGACUGUGUCUGUAUUGUGUUAUCAGUAUUCUAACUACACUCGCCAUCUUCUAUUGUUGCCAUGAUAUCUUCCUGCAUGCGUCAUACUGAGGAAAAAUGUUCCUGAUUGAUGCAAAUUAAUGUGCAGCAUUAGAUUUUAUUAUUCUUUUCUGCCAUCAUUUCGAAAUGUAUGUUUUAGUUUGGUAAAAACAAGGAAACCUUUUGAUUGCUAUUUUUUUUUCGUUUUAUCCAGAUUUUAUAGACUAAAAGGUUUAAAGCAUUUAAAAAUAAUUGACAGACUAAUAAAAAAGGAGUCGUCAGUCUAUGGCCAUAUUUCUUUAUUCUACUAAUGUAGGUGUGUCUCGUUUUCUCAUACUAACAAAAAAAAAACAGCAGGAUAAAAAAAAGUAUUAUCUGUAGUAUUCUACCCUUUAUUCAGUCAUUAAAGCUGUUUGCUAUUAACAAUGCGUUGUAUCUAAUGUAAUACAGGAUACAUAACAGGGCGUGGGUUCCGUGGAUGAAAUGUGGUCACAGUGUUCUUCCAGCUCACUAACUCGGGGUGAAUGUCUCGUCUCUGUUAGCUUAGCACACUGUGCUCUCAGGCCAUCUGGGUACAGCUGGGGCCGGAGCGGCAGGAAACACACUCACUCACAGAUACACACACUUAGACAAACAUUCCUCUUUAGUCUAAUAUAAAUAACCCAGCCAUGUCCCCUACACACACACACACACACCCUGUUCAAUGGAGUGUGACGAGCCUGUGUUUGAAUGGCAGUUGACCUCCACCUGCCACGUUUUUUCUAUUGACCGACCAAAAUGUCAUCAGCUGAUCAUUUCAUCUUUGCGUCAUUGCAAUAGACGUCCUCCUCAAUCUAAUUAGAAUUAUCUCAUUAGCUCAUAGAUGCGCCAUGUGACAUGUUACAUCCCACGAAUCGCACGCAAGCUUGUGACCGACAUCGUCUCUAAAUCUGACCACGCAACUUGGCACUUGGCAUGUAGUCAACCAGUGGGUUCAUAUGAACAGUUUGUGGAGAAAAUGAAUUUAAUUGGUCUAUGGCGUGUUUCGACCCCGCCGACUUUUUUUUCCUCCUUGGGAGGAUGAAGGGAUAAUUCUGAGGAAUUUCAAUGAAGAAACGCAGAAAUACUCUACAGUUUGUACCACGCAUUGGCAGCUGCCACUUCUUAUUCAUUUGCCCUAAAGGCACUUCCUGUCUCUCAGUACCCUAGCUACACUGCUCGUUAGAGGGGGAGCGUGACAAAGGACAUCCCAUAUACAGAAGGAGAGUGCGCGAGGAAGGGAGGUAGGGAGGGAGGGAGGAGGAAUUUUCAGCAGCAUUUAGCCAGAGCAAGACAUGGACCCAAACAAAUGUAUGAAGAGAGAAACAAUGGUCUCUUUGACACACUUUGUCCCAGUGGUAGGAAGGGAGAUGACAGCCAGAGGAAGCACACAAAUCUUUUCUUUAUGUUGGUCAUCUUUACCCAGUGUUCACACCCCUACUUCCAUCCCCCCGCUUCCAUAUCUCACUGUCUCCCGCCCCCCCUCCCCCUCCCCUGGGCUCAGUGAUAUUUUCCAAGGGAAAAUGUCUUCUCUCUCUCUCUCUCUCCCUCUCUCUGUAUAUGUUUAUGUGUGCCUGCAUAGAAAAUUGGACACUUGUGUCCUUCACGGGGAGCCUGUAUCACACGCACACGCCCGUUGUUUGAGAAUCAUGCCGCGUCAUUGUCUCACCUGUGUGGUUUUUGAACUCCAGAAGCAAGUUUUUUCUAAUUUUCACUUCCUGAAUAUCAAUGAGACAGACAACACACACCUUCAUUCCCAAACACACGCGCACACACUAUACUAUUGCCGUGCUUUCCUGGCUCCAGAUGCUCUGUUAAAAAUCCAGUUCAAUGCUUGGCAAGACAUUACUUGGAGGGCCAUUCCUGUUCCUCGAUCCCACCUGCUGACUUUCUGUUCCAGUCCCUUAACUUCCUGAAACCAAUACCAGCAUGAACCGCCCUGCAGAAUCGCCCAUUUCAGGGUUGCCGCAUGGAAUGUUUAUUUUUGACUAUAGCAUCUUUUUCUAGGCGUUCCUCUGCUUCACCCGUAACCCUCCAUCUUAUUCCCCAAGUGUUAAGAAAACCUCAUUAGAGCACUUUAGGAUUACUGUACUUGUCCUACCAAGUGAACAGCUGAACAAGACCAAACCUCCUUUGAGGAACACGUCCUACGGCAAUUUAUUCUGCCACUUCCAACUGUAACCGGCUUCAAUUUUGAAUUGUUAAUUCAUACCCGGACAAAUAGAGAUUAUACAAUAUAUGCAGAGGGCGAAUGCAUAUGUGCAGUAACACACACGUGGCGUGAAUUAGUGAACUUGAUCUUUUAUUAAACAGGGUGUGGCCUUUUUUUAUACACGCAUCUCCCCGUGCAUGCAUACGUUUCCUCGCUCAUAUACAUUUCCCGAGGCAUACCCUCCCACUCUUACAAUGACCACUUCCAGCUUGCCUCUCCCAUUGUGGUUAUUUUGUGAAGAGAGCAGUGUGACUGAUGAACCCACUGUGAGCGAUAGUGUUAACGUGCCUCUCCGACACUCCAGCAAUGUUACCUCAUGUGUUUGUGCGUUGUGUCUCUUGAAAUGCACGGCCCCGUUCCUCUCCCUAAUCCCAUUCAAGGCUGUAGGAGGAAAGCACUGACAGAUAUAUUGAUCCGCUCCUGACUUGAAAGCAAUUUGUCCCGGCUUGGGUGAAGGGUUAUCGGGGUUGGGUGUGCACUCAGGAUCUAGUGCAGAACAACUGAGAUUUGGACAAUUGCACAUAAAUGAAGAACCAAUCAGACUUUUUACCUUUAAAUGAGUUAGUUAUCCGAACCAAUGUGGCCCCUUCCUCAGUUAUUCAUUCAUAGAAUCGGUCUUUACAGGUAAAGUAGAGAUGGAGAACCUAAUAAAGGAUCCAUUGCCAACAAUGCGGGUCAAAUGUGUUCUAUUACUGCAAUACCUAAACAGAGGAAAGAGUAACGCUGCGUUUGAAACAAAUAAAUAUUGAUAGAUUAGACACAUUAGAUCUGUAAUAAUGCCGCUAUCAUCCCCAAUACACAACAAGCAUCCAAGAUAAUCCUGCCCAUAUAGAUACUGUGGCAUCAUAACAACAUUUAGAACAUGCAAGUUUAAUCUGAGUAUGGCGGUUUAGUAGCCAUGUUAGCUUUUAACUGUUUGCUCUUGCUGCAGGGGAAUUCACUAACCCCAACCCACCCCACUGGAAUCAUACAAAUCUCAUAAUACAGGCCGUACUGGGGGGGGCAGGAUAAGAAAUGGCAUUCCUAGAGUUAUUCAUGGGGCUUCCCAUUCUUUUGCGUGUGCCAAGUCAUUCACUGCACGGCCCGCUGGGAUAUAUUGUUGUUGGCCAACAUUCACAGAGUUGAUCUGUUCUCCAUGCUCUGUGUUAUCAUAGUUCGACAUCAGUCCAAUUUACUGCGAAAUAUAACCACUUUAACCUCAGUGACAGCCGUGCCCCAAAACGAGUUCGGUUCCAUUGGAAACCAGUGAGGGUGUUUCCCAUACCCCAGUGAGAGCACUGUCUGUGAAGUCAAGUCACUCUCUUUAUGAGGGUGUGUUGAUACUUGGCUGUUUUGCAAUGCGUCAGCAGCUUGUAGUUUAUUUUUAAAGGUCUCGCAGUGACUUUGGUUCCAGUUUUACUUUAGUCAAACCUCACUUAAAUUGUUGCAUUCGCCCUCUUCCCCCAUCACCACUCAACACACAUUUUGGCCCAGCUUUUAUACAAUUACAAGUGUGUCCCAGGGCUUUGUCUUUUGCAUUUAGAGUCUAAAUAGAUAUAUAGUCCAUGUUUCUCGUAAGCAGACCAAAGAACUGAAAUACACAAAUACGGGUGUUUGCUUAUUUGUGUGUGCACAUUUUCUGCCUGUUGCUUAGGGUGGCUGCAUUUGUCCUGGGAAUCGCCAGGUCUGUGUAAUGAAUCACUCCUCUGGUACACUGUGUUCUCCACUGUGUGCGUGUAUUUUGCCUGCUCAACAUGUCGUGAGUAGAGAAAGAACAUAGUUAAGAAGUAAUCGGGGCUAAAAAAUCAUAUUAAGAAAGGGAAGAAUACUUCUACUGUAGCUCUCUCUGUUACGACAGGCACUGAAAACAGGUCCAACUUCAUUAUGUGUGGUAUCCGAAAGAACAAACAAUGUGCGCAAUUAGUCGAUGACGGGGAUGUCAGUUUCCUUCCUUAAAUUUACCCUUCAGCCUUGCAUGUCCAGCCAGUAUUGAGGAAAAAAAAGGAGCAUUUCAUGUUCCAGAGGAAGGUACGGUGGCAGCAUGUGAAAAUGAGCGUAGAUUGCUGCUGAUGCUAACUAUUAACUCUGGAUAUAUAAAGAAAUAUAUUGAUAACGACUAAAGUUGUCAAAAUGUUAUUUUUCCAUC
Molecule: long non-coding RNA, 4692 nt
Organism: Pungitius pungitius (ninespine stickleback)
Lineage: Eukaryota; Metazoa; Chordata; Actinopteri; Perciformes; Gasterosteidae
Exons: 4
Source: RefSeq, a predicted model, not a curated record